GAUGAACGCUGGCGGCGUGCCUAAUACAUGCAAGUCGAGCGAACGGACGAGAAGCUUGCUUCUCUGAUGUUAGCGGCGGACGGGUGAGUAACACGUGGAUAACCUACCUAUAAGACUGGGAUAACUUCGGGAAACCGUAGCUAAUACCGGAUAAUAUUUUGAACCGCAUGGUUCAAAAGUGAAAGACGGUCUUGCUGUCACUUAUAGAUGGAUCCGCGCUGCAUUAGCUAGUUGGUAAGGUAACGGCUUACCAAGGCAACGAUGCAUAGCCGACCUGAGAAGGUGAUCGGCCACACUGGAACUGAGACACGGUCCAGACUCCUACGGGAGGCAGCAGUAGGGAAUCUUCCGCAAAGGGCGAAAGCCUGACGGAGCAACGCCGCGUGAGUGAUGAAGGUCUUCGGAUCGUAAAACUCUGUUAUUAGGGAAGAACAUAUGUGUAAGUAACUGUGCACAUCUUGACGGUACCUAAUCAGAAAGCCACGGCUAACUACGUG
RNAcentral lists this ribosomal RNA (497 nucleotides) under uncultured bacterium. RNAcentral's name for it is "partial 16S ribosomal RNA". It matches the Rfam family "Bacterial small subunit ribosomal RNA", at positions 28 to 507 of the family's 1533-position model. The record is from RNAcentral.